AUACGUAUGUCCCGAGCGUUAUCCGGAUUUAUUGGGCGUAAAGCGAGCGCAGACGGUUAAUUAAGUCUGAUGUGAAAGCCCGGAGCUCAACUCCGGAAAGGCAUUGGAAACUGGUUAACUUGAGUGCAGUAGAGGUAAGUGGAACUCCAUGUGUAGCGGUGGAAUGCGUAGAUAUAUGGAAGAACACCAGUGGCGAAGGCGGCUUACUGGACUGUAACUGACGUUGAGGCUCGAAAGUGUGGGUAGCAAACAGGAUUAGAUACCCUGGUAGUCCACACCGUAAACGAUGAACACUAGGUGUUAGGAGGUUUCCGCCUCUUAGUGCCGAAGCUAACGCAUUAAGUGUUCCGCCUGGGGAGUACGACCGCAAGGUUGAA
This 377-nucleotide ribosomal RNA is filed under the name uncultured bacterium. Its description in RNAcentral is "bacterial SSU rRNA". It matches the Rfam family "Bacterial small subunit ribosomal RNA", at positions 523 to 898 of the family's 1533-position model. The record is from RNAcentral.